GACAACAGAAGCCACAGAAAUCCUCCUCAUCAAAAACAUGACUUUGAUCUCCGUCCUCAUCUGGACUCUCCUCUGCUGCUGCUUCACAGAGUCCAGAGGCCAGAUCACAGUGACUCAGUCUGCAGCAGUGAGAUCUGAACUGGGAGGAUCUGCAACCAUCAACUGUAAGACCAGUCAGAGAGUUUAUGGUGGGAGCUACCUAUUCUGGUACCAACAGAAAUAUGGACAAGUUCCUAAGCUGCUCAUUAAGUAUGCUAAUCAACGAGAAUCAGGGAUUCCAGAUCGUUUUUCAGGCAGUGGAUCACACUCUGACUUCACUCUGACCAUCAGUCGAGUUCAGGCUGAAGAUGCAGCAGUUUAUUACUGUCAGAGUUAUCAUGAAAUCAACAGUCAGCUUGUGUUCACACAAACCAUCAGCUGUAAGACCAGUCAGGAUGUUCAUAAUCUUUUGAACACCAUCCAUUAUUUGGCCUGGUACCAACAUAGAGAUGGAGAAGCUCCUAAACUUCUAAUUUACUGGGCUACCUAUGGAGAAUCAGGGAUUCCAGGUCGUUUUUCAGGCAGUGGAUCAAACUCUGACUUCACUCUGACCAUCAGUGGAGUUCAGGCUGAAGAUGCAGCAGUUUAUUACUGUCAGAGUUAUCAUAGCAUCAACAGUCAGUGGGUGUUCACACAGUGA
This is a non-coding RNA of Scomber scombrus (Atlantic mackerel), 679 nucleotides long. NCBI's taxonomy places the organism in Eukaryota, Metazoa, Chordata, Actinopteri, Scombriformes, Scombridae. The record is from the annotation of a RefSeq genome assembly.